UACAUUUCUCUCCAAUGGAAGCUACAAAAAAGGCAUAAACAACAAAUCAUAAUCAUUAGCAGAGCGAAGUUAACAAUUUGUGUUAUGCAGUGCAAAAAUCCACAUCCUCAAACUCUGCUGAAAUUUCAGUUAGGCCAUUGCAAAGAAGAAAGUAAACUCUGAAAUUGUGUACUUGAUUUUGAAUGAGCGACUGUGAGGUGAAAUCAAAAUUCGAUGGUUUUGUGCACGAUUUUGAAUGAGC
RNAcentral lists this long non-coding RNA (241 nucleotides) under Glycine max (soybean). Its description in RNAcentral is "long non-coding RNA (GMAX_LNC004085)". The record is from RNAcentral. Lineage: Eukaryota; Viridiplantae; Streptophyta; Magnoliopsida; Fabales; Fabaceae.